RNAcentral lists this ribosomal RNA (1014 nucleotides) under Arthrobacter sp. SW199. RNAcentral's name for it is "partial 16S ribosomal RNA". Lineage: Bacteria; Bacillati; Actinomycetota; Actinomycetes; Micrococcales; Micrococcaceae. The record is from RNAcentral.
CUUCGACGGCUCCCCCCACAAGGGUUAGGCCACCGGCUUCGGGUGUUACCAACUUUCGUGACUUGACGGGCGGUGUGUACAAGGCCCGGGAACGUAUUCACCGCAGCGUUGCUGAUCUGCGAUUACUAGCGACUCCGACUUCAUGGGGUCGAGUUGCAGACCCCAAUCCGAACUGAGACCGGCUUUUUGGGAUUAGCUCCACCUCACAGUAUCGCAACCCAUUGUACCGGCCAUUGUAGCAUGCGUGAAGCCCAAGACAUAAGGGGCAUGAUGAUUUGACGUCGUCCUCACCUUCCUCCGAGUUGACCCCGGCAGUCUCCCAUGAGUCCCCACCAUUACGUGCUGGCAACAUGGAACGAGGGUUGCGCUCGUUGCGGGACUUAACCCAACAUCUCACGACACGAGCUGACGACAACCAUGCACCACCUGUGAACCCGCCCCAAAGGGGAAACCGUAUCUCUACGGCGAUCGAGAACAUGUCAAGCCUUGGUAAGGUUCUUCGCGUUGCAUCGAAUUAAUCCGCAUGCUCCGCCGCUUGUGCGGGCCCCCGUCAAUUCCUUUGAGUUUUAGCCUUGCGGCCGUACUCCCCAGGCGGGGCACUUAAUGCGUUAGCUGCGGCGCGGAAACCGUGGAAUGGUCCCCACACCUAGUGCCCAACGUUUACGGCAUGGACUACCAGGGUAUCUAAUCCUGUUCGCUCCCCAUGCUUUCGCUCCUCAGCGUCAGUUACAGCCCAGAGACCUGCCUUCGCCAUCGGUGUUCCUCCUGAUAUCUGCGCAUUCCACCGCUACACCAGGAAUUCCAGUCUCCCCUACUGCACUCUAGUCUGCCCGUACCCACCGCAGAUCCGGGGUUAAGCCCCGGACUUUCACGACAGACGCGACAAACCGCCUACGAGCUCUUUACGCCCAAUAAUUCCGGAUAACGCUCGCACCCUACGUAUUACCGCGGGCUGCUGGCACGUAGUUUAAGCCGGGUGCUUCUUCUGCAGGUACCGUCACUUUCCCUUCUUCC